AGGAAUAUUGGUCAAUGGGCGCGAGCCUGAACCAGCCAAGUGGCGUGAAGGAUGAAGGUCCUAUGGAUUGUAAACUUCUUUUAUACGGGAAUAAAGUGGUCCACGUGUGGGCUUUUGCAUGUACCGUAUGAAUAAGCAUCGGCUAACUCCGUGCCAGCAGCCGCGGUAAUACGGAGGAUGCGAGCGUUAUCCGGAUUUAUUGGGUUUAAAGGGAGCGCAGACGGGGGAUUAAGUCAGUUGUGAAAGUUUGCGGCUCAACCGUAAAAUUGCAGUUGAUACUGGUUCCCUUGAGUGCAGUUGAGGCAGGCGGAAUUCGUGGUGUAGCGGUGAAAUGCAUAGAUAUCACGAAGAACCCCGAUUGCGAAGGCAGCCUGCUAAGCUGUAACUGACGUUGAGGCUCGAAAGUGUGGGUAUCAAACAGGAUUAGAUACCCUGGUAGUCCACACGGUAAACGAUGGAUACUCGCUGUUGGCGAUAUACUGUCAGCGGCCAAGCGAAAGCAUUAAGUAUCCCACCUGGGGAGUACGCCGGCAACGGUGAAACUCAAAGGAAUUGACGGGGGCCCGCACAAGCGGAGGAACAUGUGGUUUAAUUCGAUGAUACGCGAGGAACCUUACCCGGGCUUAAAUUGCAGACGAAUUACUUGGAAACAGGUAAGCCGCAAGGCGUCUGUGAAGGUGCUGCAUGGUUGUCGUCAGCUCGUGCCGUGAGGUGUCGGCUUAAGUGCCAUAACGAGCGCAACCCUCGUGGCCAGUUACUAGCAGGUAACGCUGAGGACUCUGGCCAGACUGCCAUCGUAAGAUGCGAGGAAGGUGGGGAUGACGUCAAAUCAGCACGGCCCUUACGUCCGGGGCUACACACGUGUUACAAUGGGAGGUACAGAAGGCAGCUACCCGGCGACGGGAUGCCAAUCUCCAAAGCCUCUCUCAGUUCGGACUGGAGUCUGCAACCCGACUCCACGAAGCUGGAUUCGCUAGUAAUCGCGCAUCAGCCACGGCGCGGUGAAUACGUUCCCG
This 1016-nucleotide ribosomal RNA is filed under the name uncultured bacterium. RNAcentral's name for it is "bacterial SSU rRNA". It matches the Rfam family "Bacterial small subunit ribosomal RNA", at positions 357 to 1376 of the family's 1533-position model. The record is from RNAcentral.